CUGUACCAUCUCGGACAUUUGGCCCAGCGCGCCCCCAACCCACCUCUCGUGCUGUUUGCCCGGCUGCACAACGUGCACGCGUGGACAAGUUGCCCAGCCCGCAAGGCACUAUUCAUCUUCCCAAAACCACCUCUCUCCUCUGGCUAUGCCCAUGUCGCCUCUCCCUCACCAAAACCGCUCGCCCAGCCGCCCAUGACGCUCCAGAUCAGCACCUUGCUGCUCGCCCUCGUCUUCCUGUAGCUGCUCGUCGUGCCGCCAGAUCGACGUCUGCUCGCUGCUGCCGUGUAGGUAAGCUCCAUGGCGUCCUCCCACUCCCACCUCGUCCCAGCGAGCUCACCCUGUGCCAUGUCGCGCUUUGCCUCAUCGUCUGCGUCAUGCCGCCAGUGAGCCGUCAUGCUGGCGAGCUGCUAGCCCGCCGAGCUCUCCUGCACGCGCGCCGUCAAUCGGCCCGCCCAGCCGUGCCUCCACCUCCCCAUCUGCUCACGGGUCCCAUGCGCUCGCCGUGGCACCAUCCACCGCGCCCCUCUCCUGCUCCACCGCCGCCGGCCAUGGCAGCACAGCGGCCACGCCCACCCCGACCGGUGGACUCCUUCCCCUUGCUGCUCGUACAUGGAAGAAACUGUCGGGCGCCGCUACCCUGCUCCACUGGCCGCAUCACCGUCGCCUGGCCAUGGCCGCCGACGCCGACGUGGUCCAUUCCAUUCCCUGGCCAGCAACUGACUCGCUUGAAUGCCCCUUGCGGUUAAUCGUACGCGUCAUGCAUGGGUGCAAGGAAAAGGCAUGCAAGUAGAAAUGCCCGUGGGCCCCAUGUUGCAUGUUGCAUGUCGUAUUCCCCUCCUGGCUGCAUGCGAUCAAGGGAAAUAGUCCUCCAAGGAUCCCAUGUGGAUGCAAAAUCCAUGACCAUCCUUGAGAUUUGGCUCGGACCAAUCACAACGCACCACAUCACUUUAAAUUUGCGGUUUAUUAAAUACAUGUUAGAGUUUAUGUUAAAUCCAUUUUAUUUUGUUCGGAUUGCGUUAGCUUAAUAAUAAUGUCGUGCACACAUUAAAAAUAUUGUUUUGUCGAGACCCAUGUUUUAUUUAUUUAGUUAAUUGUUAGUUCGUUCGUUGGUUAUUAAAAAAUAACAGUUAGUUAAAACUAACUUAUCGUUUUAAGCUACCCUUUUAUAAAUACAUGUUAAUGUGAUUAUGCCAAUUCAAAUGUUUUUUAAUUUAUUCUUGCUUAGUAUAAACGCGACAUUAGUUAGUCAUUCGCGUGUGUCGUGCGCACCGUUUUCGCGUGUCGUACACAUUGCCGCGUGUCGUUCGCGCAGUAUCGCGCGCUGUCCACGCGUGAUAUUAAACCCUUAGCUUAUAAUCUCUCAUGUCAGUUAAUUAGCUAUUUCUUUAAUCGUCCACUAUUAAAAUAGUAAGUUAGUCAAAACUAAGUGAUAAUCAAUUAAUAUAAUUAUGUUGAAUUAAAUGUUCUAACUAAUACUUGUUUAGCGUAAACUUGAUAACUUCUCGGCCGUAGCUCCAACUAUCGCGGUUAUUUUCCUCGCGUAAUCGUAGAAGCGCUCUCUAUUUUAUAUUGCUCGCUUUUAUAAUAUUUUAUCUUGUAUGGUGUAAUGUUCUUAUGCAAGUAUAUGUUUACUUGUGCCUAUUUGUAUUCGUUGCGCGACACGAAUAGACUAUGAUCCAUUCCGAGCUUCGAGGAAUCGACGAUCAAGCUUCGGCGACCAAGAGAUCAAACUCUUCAAGUUCUACAAGGCUGAAGACCCUGAGCAUAUGUUUGGUGAAGGCAAGUGUCCUCUGACACAUUAUGUCCCAUUUACAUUAUAAUUUAUUGUCUUGCAUACUAUGAACAACAUAAGGAUUGACUAGCUUUCUAUUUACCUUGUCCUUGAUUACCUUUUGAGUUACUAUGGUUAGCUUCAUGCUAGCGCUUUACUUUAAUCAAUGAACAUGAUGAGAUACAAUGAUGAUACUAUGGUUUUAUUCUGGAUAUGAUGAUAUACUUGUGGCAUUUAAGGGGACUCGAGUUGUUUCACGAGUGCCUCUCCGUAAGGACUGGUUCGUUGGAUUACCGCCCGGGAAAACAGUGCAACCAUGAGGGUGGAAUGAGACGCCCUUAGCUGAAUAAUUAGAGGAACUCGGGUGUAGUUCGCUUCGUCGUCGUGCCGUUAAUGGGGCUCGGUGUAUGCGACUCGCUUUGCCAAGGUUGGUUCGCCCCUUGGGGAGGAGUGCAUUGCAUUUAGGAAACCUAACGGGCGGCUACAGCCUUAGGGAAUCUUUGUAAAGGCUUCAUAGUGAAUCUCUAGCCAUUCACCUUGUAAGUGAAUAAGGGUCUAGCAAGCCUGGGCUAGAAAGGGAAUCACGACUUGUGGGUAAAGUGCGCAACCUCUGCAGAGCAUUAUGAAACUGAUAUAUCAGCCGUGCUCACGGUUAUGAGCGGCCAAGGGAGCUCCAUUGAUUAGAGACACAUUGAUCAGAGAUGUUCUGUUUACAGAUGAUGAUGAGGAUAAUGCUGGUUUCUAUUAUGAUUAUGGUUUCUAGUAUUCUUUCCGUUUGGAAAGGGUACUUUUGGGUUAACAACUCGAGUUAAUGUUAAAACCUGGCUCUCUACUAGUAAUAAUUACCAGAUCAACUAAAAGCAACUGCUUGAUCUUAACCCCACAUAAAGCUAGUCCACUACAGCCAAACAGGACAUUUGCUGAGUACGUUGUUGUGUACUCACCCUUGCUUUCACAAAACACCAGGUUGCCCUUGGUGCAAUCUAUGCUCAGGUAAAGAAGAAGGUGUCGAGGUGGAUCUCCAGGAGUUCCAGGACUUCGACGAGUUCGAGGAUUAGGCUUGCAACCUCCCCCAGUCAGCUGCCUGUGGUGGGUUGUUUACGAUGGCUACGUUUCGAUUCUGUGUACUUUGAUUUAUAUUAUGUAAAUGGCUCUAGUUUGUAAUAUUAUUACUUACUCUUUAUUGUAAUUCGAAGCAUUGUGUUAUGAUGAGUCAUUUAUGUAAUCGUUGUGUACAUGAAUUUCUGAUCAUGGCACGUACAUGGUUCACAUUCGGUUUACCUUCCAAAACCGGGUGUGACAUAAGUGGUAUCAAAGUCGUGCUGACUGUAGGACCGUUAACCUAGAGUAGCAUUAGCCGUUUUAAAGACUUAUUGACUAUUACUUCACCUCAUCCUUGAUGUUGCUUCAAAAUAUUAGUCAUAUUGACUAAUUCUAUGGUGUGCUCCUAUAUGCCUCCUUGCUAAAAAAGUAUUUUAUUCUAGUAUGGUCUAUACUUCUCUCAAUCUAUUAGAUCUGACCUCACUCUUGUGCUUGCGACAUAUUUGUAGGUGCCCCCUGACCAUAACUUUCUUGUCUUUCAGGAUUCUUUCCUUUUCUAUCGUUAAAUUCCCAACCUUUGACAAUAUUUAUUACAUUGGUAUUGACAUGCUACAUCUUUUAGAUUCUUCCAUAUCCCUUAAUUCAAAUACUUAACUCUAAAAAACUCUGUUGCCUAUUUAAACAUUCCAGUUUAUAUUUUCAUGACCUUCCCGUCUUUUGAGACCCCUUCCUAUUCCGUUGUGAAGCCGUCACCUGUUGGCUUUUUUUAUUCUCUUGGUCUUGGUACGCUCGUACCAUUUGAAUCUUGCAUACUAUUAUUUUUAUACAUGCUUACCUUUAUAUCUCAAUGCUUGUUUAAGACAUUCCGGUUAACAUGCUUUUGACCAGCCUUAUUUCUUGGUGAUCCAUGAAUGUCCGUUCUAUUUCGCACAUCCUUGAUGAUCUCAUCAUUUCUUUAUAACUUCCCUCGGUAAUAAUUUCAGUUACUUCAACCAUUUUGUUGGAAUCUUACCUAUCUUACCCUUGCUUGUUUUCUCCACUUCGUCAGUCUUGCCUUAACUUUGUCCAUGGUUAUGCUUUUCAUCAUUAUCACCUUUAUCCUUAUCACCUCUAUAUCUUACCUUGAUGUUUAUCUUAUACCGGUCUUUAGAAUAUUCUCUUUUUCAUCUCAAUCUGAUCAUUGUAUUGUACCUACUCUUCCCUUGGUCGUAUCCUCUUCUUUGUCACCUGCAAGUUUUUUUAACUCUAUCCUUUGUUGUGUUUUGUUUGUCAUUUCCUUUACCCUUCUCAUCACUCUAUCCUACCUUGUGAUUACAUUAUGUCUAUUAUCUAAAAUCUCUAAUCUCCCAUCUCAGUUCGAGAGUGGUGUUUUACUUAUUCCGCCCUUGUUCGUAACCUCAUCUUUGCCAUUUGCAAGUCUUGUCGUGAUCCCAUUCUUAGUUGUACUUGUACUGUUGGCUCUUCAAUGCCUUCAUCUUCUCUCGCAUACCCUUGUCUGUUAUCGCCUUUGACCCUUGCAAAAUUGAUGUCUUCUACUUGAAUGCUUACCUUGAACUUAUCCUUUAAAAGUCUCCCCUUUCUUUCAACCUAGUUUGAGAGUUGCGAGUUACCUAUCUCUCCCUUGAUUUCUUUUCACUCCUUGUCACCUUACAAGUUUUGUCUUAAUUCCAUCCUUUGCUGUGUGUUUUAUUUGCUUCACCAUUACCUUGUCAUCCAUUGGUCUUGCCUUAAUACUUAUCUUUAUUCUUGCUCCUUAAAAAUCUCCUCUUUUCCACCUCAAUUUGAGAGUGGCAGUUUACCUAUUUGGCCCUUGGACGUACCCUCUCCUUUUCCAUUUGCAGGUCUUGUCUUAACUUCAUCCUUUGUGGUAUUUAUAUUCUUGGUUCUUAUGCACAUUUACCUCCUCUCCUACAUCCUUGUCCGUUAUCACCUUUAAACUCUCGUGAUACCUAUGCCCUUGCCCACAUGCUUACUUUGAACCUACCCUUUAAAGCCUCCUCUUUUUCAUCGCUGUUUGAGGAUAAUGCCUCACCUACUUCACCAUUGAUUGCUUCCCCUUCUUUGAUGCCUUGCAAGCUUUGCCUAAAAUACAUCCUUUGUUGUGUGUUUGUUCAUAAUCACCUUAACCCUUGUCAUCCCUCGAUCUUUACUUUGAUGCUUAUCAUGUACCUGCAUUUUAAAGUCGCCUUCCCCAUUUCAUUUCAAGAGUGUCUGUUCCCUUUUCCUCUGUCGCGUUGCAAGUCUUAGCUUUUGCUCGAUAUCACCCUUACCUUCCUAAUAUCUAGAUCUUUCCAUGAUGCUUAUCCUAUGCCUACCUUUUGAAAUAUCAUCUUUCCCAUCUCGAUUUGAGAAUGGUGUUUUACCUACCCUGCCCUUGGUUGCAUUUUCUCCCUUGUCGAUUACAAUCCUUGCUUUAGCUCCAUCCUUUAUUAUGCUCAUGCCCCUACCCUACAUGUCUUAUUAUUCCCCUUGCCUUUCGAUGGCCUUAGAGUAGUAUCCCCUUUUUAAGGAAAGACCACCAUCUAGUUAACAUUAACGUAUAGCAACGAGAUGUUUGUUGAUGUGUUCUCAUGAUGUUUGUCCUUCUGCUAUGACUGAUUUGCUUCUUUGGAAUGAGUGUUGAUGUGUUGUGGCCCUUGGUUCGCAAUGACAUCUGUUUACUAGGUGAGUGUCGUAGAGUUAAGUAGUUGGGUUCUCCCCCUGCUCUCUCUGAUCCGUCUGUACUUACCUUUUCUCGCUAUUCUUUCCUCUUGCGCCUAUCCAUUUGGCAACCUCCAACUCCUCCAAAUCAGUCAAGAUCAGAGUCGGCAGCAUCUUCAUCAAGUGUGUAUCAAUGCUCCUAUAAAGGGGUUAGCCGCUAACCCCAAUGAAGACAACGCGAUCAACAUCAACCAACAAGAUCAGAGUGGCACAACGAAAGCGUGUGUGGGUCCUAACCCACAGGUCCAAGAGAUCCUCAAGAAUUGCAUCAAUCAGUCUCAAUCAUCUAAAGGUCAAAGCAACCGGUCCGCAAAUUAAAGUUGCCAGAGUCAAAGUCGAGUUAGAAGAAGCUAUGAAAGACCGAUGAACCAAUCUCAUUUUCUUGCUUGCCUCUUCUUGAAUCUCGAGGGCGAGGUUUCUGUUAAGGGGGUUAGAUUUGUAACACCCUGAAUUUGGGGUGUAAAAUUUCUUUUUUCUAAUAUCCACCAAAUUCAGGUGUUACCCUCUCUUUUCCUUGCUUUUCUAUUUUUUUAAUAAUGAAGUGUUAUUUUGUUAACGUAAGCCUACUGAAUUGAACCCUAGGGAAGCUUUGUGUGCUGCAUUUCAUGCUGAAGCAUAGUUUUGAUUGCUAUCGCAUUUAGUUUUAUUUAAAUUAUUUUGGGCUGGAUCUAAUAUAUAUUUAAUUUCUACUAUUCCUAUAUAUACGAAAAGAAGAGAAAUAAAAAAGAAGAGAAAAGAAUUAAAAAAAAGAGAACGGUCGUUCAGCCCAUCUCCCUGAACCACCAUGCUCUCAUCUCCCCUCACUCUCUCAUUCUUACAGGUGGGCCCAUGCGUCAUCUCCUCCACUCCUCCCUCUAUCUCCAUUGUGAUUCCCUUUCCUGCUCACGUCGUUGGCGGUUCCAAGUUUCCCCGACGAGCACGCCCUCUCUCCCUGCGCGUCCGACCAUCCCAGGACUAUCUCCCACGCCUGUCUCUCCUCUCCCCUCAGAGUUGUAGUGGUCGUUCGGCUCGAUUGCCUGGCGCGACGGAGCAGCACGAUCCGUGGCCAGCUCAUCUGCCCAGCGCGGCAGCCUCGGCUCGGCGGCCCACGACCUACCAACGCAGCGGCGCGCUGGCUCGGUGCGACAGCCUUCACAGCUCGCCCACAGCGACGUGACGACCCAGGCGUGGCCAUGGCACGUAGGGCCCACCACGCCCCAGCUCAGCAGCGCACCCUCCCCCUCGACCCACCCUGCGCAACCGCAGCCGCUGCCCCUGCCCUGGACCAUCUCGGCCAUUUGGCCCAGCGCGCCCCCAGCCCACCUCUCGUGCUGUCUGCCUGGCUGCACAACGUGCACGCGUGGACAAGUUGCCUAGCCCGCAAGGCACUAUUCAUCUUCCCAAAACCACCUCUCUCCUCUGGCUAUGCCCAUGUCCCCUCUCCCUCACCAAAACCGCUCGCCCAGCCGCCCAUGACGCUCCAGAUCAGCACUAUGCUGCUCGCCCUCGCCUCUCUGGAGCUGCUCGUCGCGCCGCCAGAUCGACGUCUGCUCGCCGCUG
Molecule: long non-coding RNA, 7051 nt
Filed under: Zea mays
Lineage: Eukaryota; Viridiplantae; Streptophyta; Magnoliopsida; Poales; Poaceae
Description: long non-coding RNA (ZMAY_LNC001666)
Source: RNAcentral